CUACCAUGCAGUCGAGCGGGAUUUACCGGUUUAGUUUACUAAGUUGGUGAAUUCAGCGGCGGACGGGUGAGUAACGCGUGAGCAAUCUGCCUUGUACAGGGGGAUAACAGCCGGAAACGGCUGCUAAUACCGCAUAAGGCCACAGUACCGCAUGGUACAGGGGUCAAAGGAGAGAUCCGGUAUAAGAUGAGCUCGCGUUCCAUUAGCUGGUUGGUGAGGUAACGGCCCACCAAGGCAACGAUGGGUAGCCGGCCUGAGAGGGUGAACGGCCACAUUGGGACUGAGACACGGCCCAAACUCCUACGGGAGGCAGCAGUGGGGGAUAUUGCGCAAUGGGGGAAACCCUGACGCAGCAACGCCGCGUGAGUGAAGGAGGCCUUCGGGUCGUAAAACUCUGUGACAGGGGAAGAAGAAAGUGACGGUACCCUGAGAGGAAGCCCCGGCUAACUACGUGCCAGCAGCCGCGGUAACACGUAGGGGGCAAGCAUUGUCCGGAAUUACUGGGCGUAAAGGGUGCGUAGGCGGCCGAGCAAGUCCGAUGUGAAAGACCACGGCUAAACUGUGGGGGUGCAUAGGAAACUGUCCGGCUUGAGUGCAGGAGAGGAAAGUGGAAUUCCUAGUGUAGCGGUGAAAUGCGUAGAGAUUAGGAAGAACACCAGUGGCGAAGGCGACUUUCUGGACUGUAACUGACGCUGAGGCACGAAAGCGUGGGGAGCGAACAGGAUUAGAUACCCUGGUAGUC
This 742-nucleotide ribosomal RNA is filed under the name uncultured bacterium. Its description in RNAcentral is "bacterial SSU rRNA". It matches the Rfam family "Bacterial small subunit ribosomal RNA", at positions 49 to 795 of the family's 1533-position model. The record is from RNAcentral.